UACGUAGGGGGCAAGCGUUGUCCGGAUUUAUUGGGCGUAAAGAGCGUGUAGGCGGCCAGGUAGGUCGGCUGUGAAAACUCGAGGCUCAACCUCGAGCUGUCGGCCGAAACCAUCUGGCUAGAGUCCGGAAGAGGAGAAUGGAAUUCCUGGUGUAGCGGUGAAAUGCGCAGAUAUCAGGAAGAACACCCGUGGCGAAGGCAGUACUCUGGGCUAACACUGACGCUGAGGUGCGAAAGCGUGGGGAGCGAACGGG
RNAcentral lists this ribosomal RNA (253 nucleotides) under uncultured bacterium. Its description in RNAcentral is "partial 16S ribosomal RNA". It matches the Rfam family "Bacterial small subunit ribosomal RNA", at positions 524 to 776 of the family's 1533-position model. The record is from RNAcentral.